Molecule: transfer RNA, 72 nt
Filed under: Candidatus Riesia sp.
Lineage: Bacteria; Pseudomonadati; Pseudomonadota; Gammaproteobacteria; Enterobacterales; Enterobacteriaceae
Description: tRNA-Arg
Rfam family: tRNA
About the family: Transfer RNA (tRNA) molecules are approximately 80 nucleotides in length. Their secondary structure includes four short double-helical elements and three loops (D, anti-codon, and T loops).
Source: RNAcentral
CUCUCUGUAGUUUAAUUGGAAGAACAGGACGCUACGAACGUUCAGAUGUGGGUUCAAUCCCUGCCAGAGAGU